Molecule: ribosomal RNA, 253 nt
Filed under: uncultured bacterium
Lineage: Bacteria
Description: partial 16S ribosomal RNA
Rfam family: Bacterial small subunit ribosomal RNA
Source: RNAcentral
UACGGAGGGGGCUAGCGUUGUUCGGAAUUACUGGGCGUAAAGGGCGCGUAGGCGGCCUUCUAAGUCAGACGUGAAAUCCCCAGGCUUAACUUGGGAACUGCGUCUGAUACUGGGAGGCUUGAGUGCGGGAGAGGGAUGUGGAAUUCCAGGUGUAGCGGUGAAAUGCGUAGAUAUCUGGAGGAACACCGGUGGCGAAGGCGGCAUCCUGGACCGACACUGACGCUGAGGCGCGAAAGCUAGGGGAGCAAACGGG